GACGAACGCUGGCGGCGUGCUUAACACAUGCAAGUCGAACGGAAAGGCCCUGCUUUUGUGGGGUGCUCGAGUGGCGAACGGGUGAGUAACACGUGAGUAACCUGCCCUUGACUUUGGGAUAACUUCAGGAAACUGGGGCUAAUACCGGAUAGGAGCUCCUGCUGCAUGGUGGGGGUUGGAAAGUUUCGGCGGUUGGGGAUGGACUCGCGGCUUAUCAGCUUGUUGGUGGGGUAGUGGCUUACCAAGGCUUUGACGGGUAGCCGGCCUGGGAGGGUGACCGGCCACAUUGGGACUGAGGUACGGCGCAGACUCCUACGGGAGGCAGCAGUGGGGAAUAUUGCACAAUGGGCGGAAGCCUGAUGCAGCAGCGCCGCGUGCGGGAUGACGGCCUUCGGGUUGUAAACCGCUUUCGCCUGUGACGAAGCGUGAGUGACGGUAAUGGGUAAAGAAGCACCGGCUAACUACGUG
Molecule: ribosomal RNA, 468 nt
Filed under: uncultured bacterium
Lineage: Bacteria
Description: partial 16S ribosomal RNA
Rfam family: Bacterial small subunit ribosomal RNA
Source: RNAcentral